Molecule: ribosomal RNA, 252 nt
Filed under: uncultured bacterium
Lineage: Bacteria
Description: partial 16S ribosomal RNA
Rfam family: Bacterial small subunit ribosomal RNA
Source: RNAcentral
UACAGAGGGGGCAAGCGUUAUUCGGAAUUAUUGGGCGUAAAGGGCGCGUAGGCGGCUUGGCAAGUGAAGGUGAAAUCCCUCGGCUUAACCGAGGAACUGCCCUCCAAACUGCUUCGCUUGAGACCGGGAGAGGUGAGUGGAAUUCCCAGUGUAGCGGUGAAAUGCGUAGAUAUUGGGAGGAACACCAGUGGCGAAGGCGGCUCACUGGACCGGUACUGACGCUGAUGCGCGAAAGCCUGGGGAGCAAACGGG